RNAcentral lists this ribosomal RNA (468 nucleotides) under uncultured bacterium. RNAcentral's name for it is "partial 16S ribosomal RNA". It matches the Rfam family "Bacterial small subunit ribosomal RNA", at positions 28 to 507 of the family's 1533-position model. The record is from RNAcentral.
GACGAACGCUGGCGGCGUGCUUAACACAUGCAAGUCGAACGGAAAGGCCCUGCUUUUGUGGGGUGCUCGAGUGGCGAACGGGUGAGUAACACGUGAGUAACCUGCCCUUGACUUUGGGAUAACUUCAGGAAACUGGGGCUAAUACCGGAUAGGAGUUCCUGCUGCAUGGUGGGGGUUGGAAAGUUUCGGCGGUUGGGGAUGGACUCGCGGCUUAUCAGCUUGUUGGUGGGGUAGUGGCUUACCAAGGCUUUGACGGGUAGCCGGCCUGAGUGGGUGACCGGCCACAUUGGGACUGAGAUACGGCCCAGACUCCUACGGGAGGCAGCAGUGGGGAAUAUUGCACAAUGGGCGGAAGCCUGAUGCAGCAACGCCGCGUGCGGGAUGACGGCCUUCGGGUUGUAAACCGCUUUCGCCUGUGACGAAGCGUGAGUGACGGUAAUGGGUAAAGAAGCACCGGCUAACUACGUG